Molecule: long non-coding RNA, 1982 nt
Organism: Hirundo rustica (Barn swallow)
Lineage: Eukaryota; Metazoa; Chordata; Aves; Passeriformes; Hirundinidae
Exons: 12
Source: RefSeq, a predicted model, not a curated record
GCCUAUUGUUGGAACCUGCAGCCACAGUCUAGCUGGGUAAAAGCCUGCAGUCAGAGUCCGCAAACUGAUCCCUGCAGUCAGAGUUUAGCAGGAAAUAACCAGCAGUCAGAGGCUGCAAGGGAAACCUACAGCAGGAGCUUGCUGCAGGCAGAGUCAGUGACUGGUUGGAGUCAGGAUGGCUGAGCUGUAAGGAGGAAUAAACCAGGGCCCUUUUCAUGCUGUGAUAAAAAAGGAGUCUGUGUCUUGGCUCAUUUCGACCCUUUAACAAGUAGGCUGCUGCAGCAGAGCUAGUUACUUUGUAGUUAGAAUCUGUUCAAACUCUUUGCCCUAUGUUGGGAUUUUAUUUGCUGAUAUUAAGGGAGCAUCCGGCAUCCUGUGGAUAAGGAAAAUGACAGUCAGUUGUCUCCAUGCUCCUGUAAGCUAUGUGUUGUUAUUUCUGUUUUACACAGCCUGGUUGCCAUUGAUAAUUUCACAUCAAGUCAACGCACCUCAGAUCCUCUGGAACAAAAUGUUUGCUGCCCUUAGGUUCUGUACACUUCAGCUGCCGUGAAUUUUUAAGAGGGCUGCCUUGCUGGAUCAUCUCUCAACAAGUGAAUUUCGUUCUGGAGAUAGAAGGCAAUUGCUUUUUGGACACCACUGAAGUGUACCAGCACUUAUUUCCUGACUUUUCUCACUGCUGUCUUUGAUGGUGGCAGCACACCCGUGGUCACUGCUGUUCUCACUGGGUUGCUUUCUGAAGAUGGACUUGAUUACUUGUGCAUUCUGUACAGAGGGAAAAAAAAAAACAGAGGAAACUUCAUGCACUGGAGUUACCAAGGAAUGCAAGAACAUGAUCAUGUACCAUGCGAUACCACUGCACACCCAAUUUCUUUGUAUGCGUUUGUGUUCAGAAAGCAAAGCCUGCUGAAGAACCUCGGGCUGAAAGGAGGCCUUGCAAACAAAAUGGUUUAAUGCACUGUGUUGAUGGGAUAACAAGUUACAGUCACAGUUCUAUUGACAUCAUUGAUGGUGCUGAAUCCCAGACAAGGACAAAAAUGAAGAGGUUUUUUUGAAAGAAACACAGAAAAACUGUGUUUGUUAUAGGAAAAAUCUGUUCAAUCUCAACAGAAAUAUCACAGCUGGCUGAACAUAUUGCGAGAUCUGUGCUAACUAGAACUGUCUCAACACUGCAUGGGCUAUGCAUUACACAAGUCCCGGGCCAGUACCAGAUGAUGAUGAAGAGCGUGAAACAGCUGUCAGAUAUCUUAGCCCUGCUUAUCUGGAUUAGAAAACUUAUUGGGAGGCCCACUUUUCUUCAAACCUUCCUGACAGAAAAUGGGACAAUGGGAAAAGAGGUGUUUUUUUUCACCUUGUUUACCCUAGAAAUGUGAUUCCAGUAAUCACUGGAGACAAUGGAGGAAACAAGCUAAACAAUUGCUGUUCCCAGGAAAAAAUGGCAAGACCAUGAUAAGGCACAAAGUGUGAACGAUCUCCAAACAGUGGUGACAGCAAUGCUUCUUCAAGACUUUUCCUGAAAUGGUCUGAAUUUUUUAGCUUAAGGAUUUUGUUUGGUGGCAGCAAUAUAAUGGAUGCCCUAUGUGACCCUUUGCAGAGGACAGGAAAAAUAGUGCCUGGAACAGGGUGUGCCGUACAUCUGAGCAAAAUUCGUCACAGUGCAGUGAAGCCAGAUCAAGCAACAGAGUAAAAUAAUUAAAUGGAUGAUUGAUAAGCAACAGGUGACAAGAAGAUGGUGCCAGACUCCUGUUGGUGGUGCCUACUGAUAGGAUGAGGAGCAAUGGCCGUAAACUGAAACACAAGAAGUUCCAUCUCAAAAUAACGAAGAACUUCACAUGGAAGGUGGCAGAGCACUGCAACAGGUGGCCCAAGAAUGGUGUCUAACUUUCAGGCUUCUGAUUUUUAACAAGAGUUGCAUUUGCUGCAUGAAUUCUCCUGAUCACAGAGGUUUUUGGCAGCCAGGUUAACACUGUUAUGCACUUUUUUAA